This 483-nucleotide ribosomal RNA is filed under the name uncultured bacterium. RNAcentral's name for it is "partial 16S ribosomal RNA". It matches the Rfam family "Bacterial small subunit ribosomal RNA", at positions 30 to 507 of the family's 1533-position model. The record is from RNAcentral.
UUGAACGCUGGCGGCAGGCCUCACACAUGCAAGUCGAGCGGAUGACGGGAGCUUGCUCCUUGAUUCAGCGGCGGACGGGUGAGUAAUGCCUAGGAAUCUGCCUGGUAGUGGGGGACAACGUUUCGAAAGGAACGCUAAUACCGCAUACGUCCUACGGGAGAAAGCAGGGGACCUUCGGGCCUUGCGCUAUCAGAUGAGCCUAGGUCGGAUUAGCUUGUUGGUGAGGUAAUGGCUCACCAAGGCGACGAUCCGUAACUGGUCUGAGAGGAUGAUCAGUCACACUGGAACUGAGACACGGUCCAGACUCCUACGGGAGGCAGCAGUGGGGAAUAUUGGACAAUGGGCGAAAGCCUGAUCCAGCCAUGCCGCGUGUGUGAAGAAGGUCUUCGGAUUGUAAAGCACUUUAAGUUGGGAGGAAGGGUUGUAGAUUAAUACUCUGCAAUUUUGACGUUACCGACAGAAUAAGCACCGGCUAACUCUGUG